RNAcentral lists this small RNA (558 nucleotides) under Pan troglodytes (chimpanzee). RNAcentral's name for it is "processed transcript". The record is from RNAcentral. Lineage: Eukaryota; Metazoa; Chordata; Mammalia; Primates; Hominidae.
AUGUUUGCGCCACCUACAGCCUCGGAGGGUGAGCGUCAUGGCGGCUUCUUGCCCUCUCCCGGUGACCCCGGAUCUGCCCACGCUGCGUGCCAAGUUGCAGGGACUGCUGCAGUUCCUGAGGGAUGCCCUGUCCAUUUCCAAUGCACAUACCGUGGAUUUCUACACAGAAUCCGUGUGGGAGGAGCUGGUCAACUUGCCACCGGAGACAGUGCUGGCUGCGCUGAGGAAGUCAGCGUCGGAGACGGAGGCCCUGCCCUCAGAGACGCGCCCCCUAGUGGAAGCAGAGUGGGAAGCAGGUGGGUGGUGGGGUAGGCGGGGCGGGAAGGGAGGCGGAGGAGAAGGUCCCGGCAGACGAAGCGAGCCCCCUGGUGGAAGCCAGCAGAACCAGGUAUGACUGAUUUUCCCAAAAUAUUUUGUGAAACUUCUCAGAAGUUGGUGAGUGUGGAAGCCUUUGCUCUGGCUGCGAAAUACUAUUCUGUACAAAACUUGGGAAUAUGUACUCCUUUUGAACAGUUGCUUGUAGCCCUUCGAGGAAAUCAAACCCAGAGAAUUGGUAUG